UGGGGAAUAUUGCACAAUGGGCGAAAGCCUGAUGCAGCAACGCCGCGUGAGUGAUGAAGGCCUUCGGGUUGUAAAGCUCUGUCUUUUGGGACGAUAAUGACGGUACCAGAGGAGGAAGCCACGGCUAACUACGUGCCAGCAGCCGCGGUAAUACGUAGGUGGCAAGCGUUGUCCGGAUUUACUGGGCGUAAAGGAUGCGUAGGCGGAUACUUAAGUCAGAUGUGAAAAUCCCGGGCUUAACUUGGGAACUGCAUUUGAAACUGGGUAUCUAGAGUGCGGGAGAGGAAAGUGGAAUUCCUAGUGUAGCGGUGAAAUGCGUAGAGAUUAGGAAGAACACCAGUGGCGAAGGCGACUUUCUGGACCGUAACUGACGCUGAGGCAUGAAAGCGUGGGGAGCAAACA
Molecule: ribosomal RNA, 402 nt
Filed under: uncultured bacterium
Lineage: Bacteria
Description: bacterial SSU rRNA
Rfam family: Bacterial small subunit ribosomal RNA
Source: RNAcentral